Nicotiana tabacum (common tobacco) is the source of this 1924-nucleotide non-coding RNA. Lineage: Eukaryota; Viridiplantae; Streptophyta; Magnoliopsida; Solanales; Solanaceae. The record is from RefSeq and is a predicted model, not a curated record.
UCACGACACAUAUUAUCAGACGGAGGGAGUAUUAAGUUACCUAAAUUUGAGAAAGGACUUCGAAUAUUACUACAAUUCAGUGUGUGUGUGUGUAUAUACACACACUAUACUAGGACUAGGAGAUAUAUCCAAGAAAAUAAAUGCGUGUACCCCACAAUAAUAACGUGUACCCCACAAUACUACAAGGCUAAGUUUUCACCGCAAAAAAAGGAGAUAGGUCAUUGAUUCCGGCCAAGCGGAUCUAAACCAUGUCUCAGAGGUGAGUCUCAUCUAAAUUCUCUUAAUCUAAAUUGUCAGAAUGGAUCUUGCACAUGGAAGUCUUCACAAAAAAACACACUUGCCAAUCCCCAGUUUAAAGUAGACGAAAACAGCUUGCUUUCUUCAGGCAAGAACCGCCCUGGUCAAGCAUUUGUAGCUCCUGAAUGAUUCGAUCAAGAUUGGGCCUCUUACGUAUCUCGCACUGAGUGCACCUUAAGGCGAGGGAAAGAGAAAAAUUGACAGCCAUGGCUGAAAGUGAAAUACAAGAGGAUUGUUUCUCAGCCAUGGCUGAACUGAAAGUGAAAUACAAGAGGAUUGUUUCUCAGCCAUGGCUGAAAGUGAAAUACAUGAGGAUUUUUUCUCAGCCAUGGUUGAAAGUGAAAUACAAGAGUCAACCCAACAACAACCACAACCUGAAAUACAAUAGGAAAUGGAAGAGUCAACCCAACAACAACCUGCCCCCACAGAAUAAUGGACUCUAGGUGAAAUCACUCCCUUCAGCUUCGAAGAUAUAAAUAACGGGACAAAUAAUUUUGCACAUAAAGUUGGGCGCGGACUCUAAGGGAUAGUCUACAGGGGGAGCUGAAUGGGCAGCCUAUUGCUAUCAAAAAAAUGCUCUCUCAAGGGAAUUGGGACAAGUGAUCCGAUCGAAAAGGCCAAGAACUUGUCCCUUUUUAAUCAUUCCAACAUUAUCCAACUCCUUGGUGUCUGCAAAACAGAUUCUCACCUUUACAUGGUUAUGCCUUACCUGAGUAAUGGGGACUUGAUGUCAAAAUAUGCAGGUAUAAAUUGUAUUUCUUUCUUAUCAAUAGCAAGUCAUAAUAUAGUAUUAUUAUUCUUGAAUAGUUACAAGUUUUAAAUCUGUCUUACACUUCAUAUUACAGUAUUUCCUUUACUAUUGUUGCAAGCUUUAAUUCCAUCUUAGAGACAUUGAAGUUUCUAGCUUAAGAUUUCCUUGGCAUCAUUCUAUUCUAAUUUGUACUGGUUAUAGUUAUCGUUGGCAUCCUUCUAAUUUUAGCCACUUUGAAGAAACUAAUAACAAUUGUAGUUUUACAUCACAUGGUCUAUCAAACUGAAUGAAAAAAAUGCAAAAAACAAUGAAGAAUUAACCAAAGACUUGGCCAAUGACUGGAGAAUUAUUGCAAUAAGUUUAUUGAGGAAAGAGUUUCUAUAUUUAAAAGACUCAUGAAAAGUGACUAGUUUUGUUUACUGUUACUCAAACUUCAAGAUAAGUAACUGAAAUGCUGGGCUGAGGAGGGAAAGGAACUAGCAUGUUUGAGGAGACUAAAAAUCUUCUUAAUACCAAAGCUCUAGCGCGUAUUUUGAUUUGGUAGGCCAUACAUAGGGAGUGGCAAAUGGGCGAGUUGAAUUAAAUUUGGGCGGGUCAAAACGGGUUGGAUCAAUAAACGGGUCAUGACCCAACCCAUCCAAAUUGAUUUUAGGUCAAAAUGGAUUUGGGUCGAGAUGAGUCAAGAAGUAACGAGUCAAAACCCAACCCCUCAAUUAUCAUAUAAAUCUAAGCAAUUGAUCGGUGAACAACAAUUUACACUAACUCAACAUAUGUUUCGGUCAAAUUGUAGCAGCAAAUGUUAGUUUUAAGAUUGCAGAAUCUAUUGCAAGGAUUUAGGUCUCGACUACAUUUCAGAAAAUUUAAAAAAGCUUCUGA